RNAcentral lists this microRNA precursor (105 nucleotides) under Canis lupus familiaris (dog). Its description in RNAcentral is "mir-8834 microRNA precursor family". It matches the Rfam family "mir-8834 microRNA precursor family". Lineage: Eukaryota; Metazoa; Chordata; Mammalia; Carnivora; Canidae. The record is from Rfam by way of RNAcentral. RNAcentral also lists the same sequence under 1 other name.
AGGAGGAACAACCGCAGUGGCGGGGCCAGCUCUGCAGCCCGGGAGUCAGCUCCCGCAGUAGCUCCGGAGCUCUCCGUCUGCAGGGCCUGGAGGCUCCGGGGCGGG